UUUAGAGGAACAUCAACACAAAGAGAGUAAAAGCUUCAGCUUCACCAUCAUUUCAGUUGAAAACCAGAUAGAACGCAAGCAACUAUAUUAAUAUACUUAUUUAUAUGCCUCAAAGGGAUCUCAGGACAAGAUUCACUGUAUCAAUUUCAAAAGAUAAAUUUAAGAUGAAAGGACGAAACCUGAUUCUAUUGUUCCUUUUAAUUGCAGCUUCUGCUACAACUGUAGCUCCCACCACAACUGCACCUCCAACAACUGUAGCCCCAACAGCAGCUCCAACAACAACUGUAGCCACAACAACAGUAGCUCCAACAACAACUGUGGCCACAACUAAAGCUGCAGCCCCCACUACAACUGCACCUCCAACAACUGUAGCCCCAACAACAGUAGCUCCAACAACUGUGGCCGCAACAACAGUAGCUCCAACAACUGUAGCUCCAACAACAACUGUGGCCAAAACUACAACUGCAGCCCCCACUACAACUGCAGCCCCAACAACAGCAGCUCCAACAAAAACUGUAGCUGCAACAACUGCAGCCCCGACAACUGUAGCUCCAACAACAACUCUAGCCGCAACUACUGCAGCCCCUACAACAACUGCAGCCCCUACAACUGCAGCACCCACUGCAACUGCAGCCUCGACAACUGCAGCC
This is a long non-coding RNA of Anguilla anguilla (European eel), 650 nucleotides long. RefSeq lists it as uncharacterized. The record is from RefSeq and is a predicted model, not a curated record. NCBI's taxonomy places the organism in Eukaryota, Metazoa, Chordata, Actinopteri, Anguilliformes, Anguillidae. The transcript has 3 exons.